GGGCCUAUAGCUCAGUGGUAGAGCCACCGGCUCAUAACCGGUUGGUCCUAGGUUCGAAUCCUAGUAGGCCCACCA
Molecule: transfer RNA, 75 nt
Filed under: Megasphaera cerevisiae
Lineage: Bacteria; Bacillati; Bacillota; Negativicutes; Veillonellales; Veillonellaceae
Also listed under: 1 other name
Description: tRNA-Ile
Rfam family: tRNA
About the family: Transfer RNA (tRNA) molecules are approximately 80 nucleotides in length. Their secondary structure includes four short double-helical elements and three loops (D, anti-codon, and T loops). Further hydrogen bonds mediate the characteristic L-shaped molecular structure. tRNAs have two regions of fundamental functional importance: the anti-codon, which is responsible for specific mRNA codon recognition, and the 3' end, to which the tRNAs corresponding amino acid is attached (by aminoacyl-tRNA synthetases). tRNAs cope with the degeneracy of the genetic code in two manners: having more than one tRNA (with a specific anti-codon) for a particular amino acid; and 'wobble' base-pairing, i.e. permitting non-standard base-pairing at the 3rd anti-codon position.
Source: RNAcentral